Molecule: ribosomal RNA, 246 nt
Filed under: uncultured bacterium
Lineage: Bacteria
Description: partial small subunit ribosomal RNA
Rfam family: Bacterial small subunit ribosomal RNA
Source: RNAcentral
AGAAUCAACGCUGGCGGCGUGCCUAACACAUGCAAGUCGAACGAGAAAGCGGGAGCAAUCCCAUGAGUAAAGUGGCGCACGGGUGAGUAACACGUGACUAACCUACCCUUGAGUGGGGGAUAACCUAGGGAAACCUGGGCUAAUACCGCAUAAUACCUACGGGUCAAAGGAGCAAUUCGCUUUAGGAGGGGUCGCGGCAGAUUAGUUAGUUGGCGGGGUAAUGGCCCACCAAGACAGUGAUCUGUA